Eriocheir sinensis (Chinese mitten crab) is the source of this 1119-nucleotide long non-coding RNA. RefSeq lists it as uncharacterized. Lineage: Eukaryota; Metazoa; Arthropoda; Malacostraca; Decapoda; Varunidae. The record is from RefSeq and is a predicted model, not a curated record. The transcript has 2 exons.
AAGAAGGAAACCAUCACAUUAAACUCAAAACACAAACUCCAGCAAGUCAAAAUACGAAGCGUGCAAGAGACGGUUCUGAUGAAGCACGUGUCUGGUGCUUUUAUCAUCGACUCAAGGAGGACCAGGAGUAAACAUUCAUGAUGGUUCAUAAGACUGGUGAUCAGGGGUCAUAAGUUUCUGUCUGUGCAAAGAAAUGUAUAGUUUCCUCAAGAGUGUCUUAACCCUCAAGCUGCAAAUACGUCUGUGAGCCCCUGUAAAGCAUCUAUGUCAAGUAAACAAGACAAAGCAGCCUUGGGGAGCAGAGGCUGUGAGUCUAGUGAUCUAGUGACACUUCCACAUUAACCCGGUAGCAGCGACGGGCCAAAUUUGUGGCUUCACCGUGUAGCAGUGAUGGGCCAAAUUUGUGCCAUGAUAUUUACCCCCCAAAAUAGAUGAUACAUAAUCUGAUAUAUAUUAUGAAAUGGUUUGUGUGAGGGGUGAUUUUUUCUCAUUUUUCUCGCUUGGAGGGACCAUUAAGAAACAUGAUCCCCGCUGCUACCAGGUUAAGCAUGGAGAGAGAAUGGGAGGUAAAGCAAUGGGACGGUAGAAGGGACCGAGGAAUAUUAUGAGUCUACGUAUAAACCUUAACCACUGCUUUCAAAAUAUAGGAGUCCCAAUAGUCUAGCUUUGGGAGUAUGCAGUGUGGAGACUUGCUGUUUGAGAAAAUUAUAUUUGCUAACAAAGAUUACAUACAUAAACAGAAAAUUAGAACUAAACAAAAUCACGUGAAUGUAGACUAAAGCAGAGUCAUGCUGAGUGUAACAAGUGAGUGAGACCAUCGACCUUCCGUGGGUGGGUAGGUGGCCUGAGGUGGAAGAUAAUGCAGUUGUGUAAGAAGGCAAAACAAUGUAACAUAUAUGGUGAUAAGUGCUCAAGAGACUGGCUUCCCACACACGUCAACCUGAGCCAUGGAGAGAGACAGUGAAGGGAUGUAGAUGAAGAAAGCUUACAAAAUAAAGAAAAAGUGUGUGUGUGUGUGUCAAAAACAUCAUCCACUAACCUGUCUGAUUCUCUGGUUUUCUGGCAAGUCAAUCUUUUUAUCCGUCACAACCUCAAUCAUAAACUUCUCCAGGCCAACUC